GUUGUAUGGUUAAGUGACUAAGCGUACACGGUGGAUGCCUUGGCAGUCAGAGGCGAUGAAGGACGUAUUAACUUGCGAUAAGCCCAGAUGGCGAACCGGGGGAACUGAAACAUCUAAGUACCCCGAGGAAAAGAAAUCAACCGAGAUUCCGAAAGUAGCGGCGAGCGAAAUUGGACUAGCCCUUAAGCUUUACACGCGUUAGACGAACGGUCUGGAAAGUCCGACGAUACAGGGUGAUAGUCCCGUAGUUGACGACGUGUGUUCAGUGAAAUCGAGUAGGGCGGGACACGUGAUAUCCUGUCUGAAUAUGGGGGGACCAUCCUCCAAGGCUAAAUACUACUGACUGACCGAUAGUGAACCAGUACCGUGAGGGAAAGGCGAAAAGAACCCCUGUGAGGGGAGUGAAAUAGAACCUGAAACCGUGUACGUACAAGCAGUAGGAGCAGGCUUUGUCCUGUGACUGCGUACCUUUUGUAUAAUGGGUCAGCGACUUAUAUUCAGUGGCAAGGUUAACCAUCUAGGGGAGCCGUAGGGAAACCGAGUCUUAACUGGGCGUUCAGUCUCUGGAUAUAGACCCGAAACCAGGUGAUCUAGCCAUGGGCAGGUUGAAGGUUGAGUAACAUCAACUGGAGGACCGAACCGACUAAUGUUGAAAAAUUAGCGGAUGACUUGUGGCUAGGGGUGAAAGGCCAAUCAAACCUGGAGAUAGCUGGUUCUCCCCGAAAGCUAUUUAGGUAGCGCCUCGGACGAAUACUACUGGGGGUAGAGCACUGUUAAGGCUAGGGGGUCAUCCCGACUUACCAACCCUUUGCAAACUCCGAAUACCAGUAAGUACUAUCCGGGAGACACACGGCGGGUGCUAACGUCCGUCGUGGAGAGGGAAACAACCCAGACCGCCAGCUAAGGUCCCAAAUUACUACUAAGUGGGAAACGAUGUGGGAAGGCUCAGACAGCCAGGAUGUUGGCUUAGAAGCAGCCAUCAUUUAAAGAAAGCGUAAUAGCUCACUGGUCGAGUCGGCCUGCGCGGAAGAUGUAACGGGGCUAAGUAGUAAACCGAAGCUGCGGCAAUGUGCUUUUGCACAUUGGGUAGGGGAGCGUUCUGUAAGCGGUUGAAGGUGUGUGGUAACGCAUGCUGGACGUAUCAGAAGUGCGAAUGCUGACAUGAGUAACGAUAAAGGGGGUGAAAAACCUCCUCGCCGGAAGACCAAGGGUUCCUGUCCAACGUUAAUCGGGGCAGGGUAAGUCGACCCCUAAGGCGAGGCCGAAAGGCGUAGUCGAUGGGAAACGGGUUAAUAUUCCCGUACUUCUUACAAUUGCGAUGGGGGGACGGAGAAGGCUAGGUGGGCCUGGCGACGGUUGUCCAGGUUCAAGUGCGUAGGCUURAGAGUUAGGUAAAUCCGGCUCUUUUUAAGGCUGAGACACGACGUCGAGCAYCUACGGAUGUGAAGUCAUUGAUGCCAUGCUUCCAGGAAAAGCCUCUAAGCUUCAGAUUGUAAGGAAUCGUACCCCAAACCGACACAGGUGGUCGGGUAGAGAAUACCAAGGCGCUUGAGAGAACUCGGGUGAAGGAACUAGGCAAAAUGGUACCGUAACUUCGGGAGAAGGUACGCUCUCGACGGUGAAGUCCCUCGCGGAUGGAGCUAUUGAGAGUCGCAGAUACCAGGUGGCUGCAACUGUUUAUUAAAAACACAGCACUGUGCAAAAUCGUAAGAUGACGUAUACGGUGUGACGCCUGCCCGGUGCCGGAAGGUUAAUUGAUGGGGUUAGACUUCGGUCGAAGCUCUUGAUCGAAGCCCCGGUAAACGGCGGCCGUAACUAUAACGGUCCUAAGGUAGCGAAAUUCCUUGUCGGGUAAGUUCCGACCUGCACGAAUGGCGUAAUGAUGGCCACGCUGUCUCCACCCGAGACUCAGUGAAAUUGAAAUCGCUGUGAAGAUGCAGUGUACCCGCGGCUAGACGGAAAGACCCCGUGAACCUUUACUACAGCUUGGCACUGAACAUUGACCCUACAUGUGUAGGAUAGGUGGGAGGCUUUGAAGCACGUACGCCAGUAUGUGUGGAGCCGUCCUUGAAAUACCACCCUUGUAGUGUUGAUGUUCUAACGUCGACCCCUUAUCGGGGUUGCGGACAGUGCCUGGUGGGUAGUUUGACUGGGGCGGUCUCCUCCCAAAGAGUAACGGAGGAGCACGAAGGUGGGCUAAUCACGGUUGGACAUCGUGAGGUUAGUGCAAUGGCAUAAGCCCGCUUGACUGCGAGAAUGACAAUUCGAGCAGGUGCGAAAGCAGGUCAUAGUGAUCCGGUGGUUCUGAAUGGAAGGGCCAUCGCUCAACGGAUAAAAGGUACUCCGGGGAUAACAGGCUGAUACCGCCCAAGAGUUCAUAUCGACGGCGGUGUUUGGCACCUCGAUGUCGGCUCAUCACAUCCUGGGGCUGAAGUCGGUCCCAAGGGUAUGGCUGUUCGCCAUUUAAAGUGGUACGCGAGCUGGGUUUAGAACGUCGUGAGACAGUUCGGUCCCUAUCUGCCGUGGGCGUUGGAAGAUUGAAGGGGGCUGCUCCUAGUACGAGAGGACCGGAGUGGACGAACCUCUGGUGUUCGGGUUGUGUCGCCAGACGCAUUGCCCGGUAGCUAAGUUCGGAAUCGAUAACCGCUGAAAGCAUCUAAGCGGGAAGCGAGCCCUGAGAUGAGUCUUCCCUGAUACUUUAAGUAUCCUAAAGGGUUGUCGGAGACUACGACGUUGAUAGGUCAGGUGUGUAAGUGCUGUGAGGCAUUGAGCUAACUGAUACUAAUUGC
This 2789-nucleotide ribosomal RNA is filed under the name Vibrio parahaemolyticus. RNAcentral describes it as "bacterial LSU rRNA". It matches the Rfam family "Bacterial large subunit ribosomal RNA". Lineage: Bacteria; Pseudomonadati; Pseudomonadota; Gammaproteobacteria; Vibrionales; Vibrionaceae. The record is from RNAcentral.